RNA transcript from Mytilus californianus (California mussel), 2577 nucleotides. RefSeq lists it as uncharacterized. NCBI's taxonomy places the organism in Eukaryota, Metazoa, Mollusca, Bivalvia, Mytilida, Mytilidae. The record is from RefSeq and is a predicted model, not a curated record. The transcript is spliced from 3 exons.
GAUUGGUCAUUUAAUUCUUGAAUCCUUCAUCUCUUGUAUCUUGAUUUCACUUAUUUGUUUAUAAACUGUAUACUGAUAGACAUUAUAUAUUUUAUUGAUUGUAACGUUUGAUUAAUAUUAAUAAACAAUUCAUUAGUCAUGCUCUACGGAUACAUAAACACUUUCACAUCUUCAAAUUUUUACGGUAAUACCGGAAUAUGAUACAUGUCCAUCGAUAUUUUAUAUAUGUAUUGACAGCUUCGAUGAACCGAAUGAAAUGCUUCAUAUUGUGUGCUCCACUGCCCAUGGAGAAUGACCUGAUAAUCUUUCUCACGAACACAAUACUAUAUAAGUAAACCUAGUUACCUACACAAGUUUAAGCUGAAAAAGAUAUAUGAAUGAUAGCAUGAAUUAAAGAGAAAAUGGAGAAAGUUAAAUGUGAACCAUGCAAAACCCGCGACAAAAACAACCAGUCAACUCAUUGGUGUGUUAUUUGUGAAGAGUCUUUUUGUUCAGACUGCACAGACAACCAUCGUGCCCAGAAAAUAUCGCGAAAUCAUGAACUCAUCGAUAUCAAUAGAAUGCCUAUGCAUACAAUUAUCGCAGACCAAUGCUGUUUCGAACAUGAUAACUUGCCAUUUGAGUAUUUUUGUAUCGAUCAUGAUAUUCUAUCUUGCAAAGAAUGUCUAGCAGAAAACCAUCGUUCUUGUCAAAAAGUGAUGUCUGUUGAUAUAGCAUCUAAAGGGGCCAAGCAGUCCCAGUCAUUUAUAGAUGCCAUGGAAAUUAUAGGCUAUGUUUUAGAAACAGCACAUGCAAUUGCUAAAGACGAAAAGAAAUUUGUUGAAAAUAUCGUAAAGGAAGAAAAUUCAGUCAAAAUGGCUGUAAGGAAAAUAAAAGAAGAAGCAAUCAGUCAUAUUGAAUCACUAGAAAAGUCACUGCUAUAUGACCUUGAUCUGAAAAAAAGACACAAUAAUACAAAAUUCAAAGACAACAAUUAGUGAAACAGAAGAUAUCGAAAAGAAGAUGAAAGACAAAAAAGAUGUGUUUGAUCUUGUGUACAAACAUGGUUCUGAGGAGCAAGCAUUUAUUGCUGCCCAUGCGUACAAACAAGAUCUAACUGAUUUCGAGAAAAAAGUAACUGGUAUCACAGAAAAGUCAACCAGAUUUACAAUACGGCUGAAACCGGAGAGAUUAAAGACAUCUUUUAAAUCUAUCGGGUCAAUAGAACUAAGCGAAGUACCUUCUGCCGUAAAAUUUGUUCAGAAGGAAAAAUGUCAAUCCCAAAUGCCAAUUGUUCAACAUCACAGUUUUCCAAACUUUCUUCAUAAACGAGAUUUAGACACGAAGUCUGGAAUUAUUUCCGGAAUGGCAGUAAAUGAGAAUGACGCAAUCAUCUUAGUUGACAACUUUGGAAGGGGAAGAAUACUAGUAUAUGACCAUAAUGAUAAUUACAGGUACCAAAUAGAAACCAAACAUCAACCUUGGGAUAGAGCUCUUAUCCCAGGGAAAAACUUAGGUGUUCUGACAUCUUAUGAAGAAGAAGUCUUCAGUUUGUUGACUUUGAUAAGAAAAACAUUUCUAGAACCGUGUCAGUAAAGGAAAGUGACCAGGGAGGCGUUGCUGUGGCAAAUAAAAACAUAUAUGUUGGAACAAAAAGGAACAUUAACAUUCUGGAUCUUGUAGGAAGAUUAAUUUGGUCAAUAAAAACCAAAAAAGAGAAGUUGCCAUCUUGGUUUAUUUCUUUGGAUAAAACUGGGAACAUCUAUUGCACUAAACAGACGUCCUGAGUUGUAUAAGAGGCGAUGGUACAGAAGUUUAUACAUAUUCCACACCAGAUAACGAUACUCUAUGGAACUUAGCAGUUGACAACCUUGGUUACAUUUACGUUGUUGUUAAGGAUAAAGGUGUAUAUAGACUGAAGCCGGAUGGAACAUUCAUGGACAUCGAAUAAAGGAUGAACAAUCUCCUAGUUUUAUAAGAAUUUGCUUUAACAUUAAAUUCACAAAAAUGAUCCUUUCGCGAAGCACUGUGGUUUCCAUGUUUAAUCAGAAAUAAUACAAAUCAUGCGUAUUUUUAAUAUAACUGUCUAAGAGAGCAAUCCUUGUACUUUUUUGUCAACAGAAAAGCUUUGAUUUUUCAAACAAUAUCAUUCAAGGGAUAGUCAACAGCUUUUCUGGAAAUAUGCUGAGUAUAGGAUUUUCUGCAUCUGUCAGGAGAUGGAAAAUUGGUUUGAGAUAUAUUAUAUUUUUGUUGUUUAAAAAAUACAGUUUUUUCUGUAGUAUGAUAUAUGUAUUUCUACACACACAAUGAUUGCUGUUGUAAAUAUUCCUUAAUAAUGACCGUACCCUCACUAGUUUCAAUUUUCAAACUACAGUUUUAUCAAAUCAAAUUGAAGCAGGUGGUGAACAUUGUAAUAAAUCCAAGAAUGGUAUAAUAGUUUUGGACAGUAAUAUAAUCACAUUAAAAAAUCUUGAAUUAUUUUAGGAAUGUCAUUCUUGUAUGAAUGAUAUAGGAUCAUGCAUUACAAAACGGACAUUGAAAUCAUCAUAGAAUCUUAUUUACAAUUUGAAUAUAAGACAACAGAUAUUUUCAUUAGUG